Long non-coding RNA from Pan paniscus (pygmy chimpanzee), 1139 nucleotides. Lineage: Eukaryota; Metazoa; Chordata; Mammalia; Primates; Hominidae. The record is from Ensembl.
CUGGCUUUGGAAUGAAAGUCACUAGGGAGGUUUUAUAUUUUAUAGUGUUGUUCUGUUCCUAGGAGGAUGCUGUGACCCCUCAAUGGAUAUGCUAAUCAUCACAUCAGAAGCACAACUAGCUUCAAAUGGAAACCAGAUUGCACUUGGUCACUGACGAAGCAGGAGAUUAAACAAGCUACACUGUGUCUCUGGGAGAACAAAAAGCCAAAAGGCACAUUUAUCAACUCUGAAUCACAACACUGAGGAGAAGAAGACAAGCCAAGAUCAUCCUAUGCCUGGAAGAGAUCUCAGUUGUAUGGAAAUAAUCAGCCAAUAUGACCACCCACUUCUGGAAGAGCAUCUCUAAGACAGAGGGGGGACUGUGUCUCUUCACUUUCCAUACAUAGUUCUCAAUGUGUAUUUUUUUAAUUGAUUACUUUUUCCCCUUGAAGGAUUUCCUAAAAUCUAUUUAAUUUUACCUGACCUAUGUCCCAGAAAUUGUCUUUUUUCCUACUGUAAUUGCCAUUUAAAUUAAUAAAAAAUACUUGGGGAAAAAAGUUCAUCUUUCUAUAGCUUUAUAAAUAUGGAGCAAAUAUAUCUGUUCAUUUGAUGAAUGUCCAUUUAAACCAGCAUUGAGAGAAAUGAAUUAUCAUAUUCCACAAAAGAUCAUUGAAAAAAGACCAUUAAAUGAAUAAUAGUGGAUCCUUAAUGUUUCCCUAGAGGAAGAAGAAUAAUUUCAGAUGGCAGGAAAAUAACUUUUAUCUUUUGUUAAACAUUCAAACAAUUAUUUUACCAACACAUACCAUUGCAGAUAACCUCAAAAAGAGUAAAACAAAUUUUCAGAAUGCUAUACUCCUAUACUAAGGAGUGUUCCAGAGGCAACUGUGGUGUCUUUUAAUGCAAAAUUGUUCAGAGUAUAGGUUAGCCUCUCAUAUGGUGAGUAUAUAACCUAGGUUUUCUAUGACCAGCCUAAUAUAAACACUUCUGUCCCAUUCUAUGAAUAAGUGAACUUCAGCUUGUCAGACCAUGAUUUGGAUAUAAUGUCAUGAUACCCACUGACCAUAUGGAAAAUGCCUUCCCUUAGAAAUACUCUAACCUCCUAGUACAGUAGCGUAAAGAACUUAUACCAAAAUAUUAUACUAAUAAUUCUUAAUGAUAUU